ACUUCACCCAUUGCUUUUGAUUAGAUCUGAUACUUGAUUUUACAAGUUUUUGGGAUUUCUUCAGUUGUUUUAUCCACGCAAUGGGUUAGGUCGAUGUUGUUCCUUAUAUUUACGAUUAUUCUGAGUUGCUACUGAUCCUUUCAUCUAGGAUACUGGUGUGGCGUCUACUACUUUGGAUCGUUUACCUGGUGGCAUCAUUCAAGCCAGGUUAAUGUUUCAAGCUUUCAUAUCUUCCUGGCAAUUCCAGUUGGUAUUAAACAAAAAAGUAAUGUUGAUGACAUUGUUCAAAAGCGCUACCAAUAUCAUCUCUCUUCCCAUUCCUUUAUUUCAUGGCUCACAUUAGGUAGCUUGACGACUUCCUUAGGACCUUUCAUAUCCAAACAUUGUGGUAAAUGUUUGAUUUUGUAUUCUUACUAAAGCAAUGAUUGAUCAUUGUUAUUCUGUGAUUAUUUCUUUGGUUGGUUGUCUAACUUGACUAUACAUGAGCAUUUCAUGAUAAGGAUCAGUAGAGCAUUUGAAAACCGAAUGAUGUUAAUAAAUUGAUUAAAUUAAGAGCUUGAAUUGUCCACAUGGUUCAAUAAAAGUGAUGUGAUCUAGUUAGUGCCUGUUGAAAUGUAAACAUUAGUUUUAGAUUGAGGAAAGUGCUACACCUAAAUAUUUGGUUUUGUAGGCACAAGCUUUUGACUGAUGCAAUGUAUGUCUUC
Non-coding RNA from Camellia sinensis, 704 nucleotides. Lineage: Eukaryota; Viridiplantae; Streptophyta; Magnoliopsida; Ericales; Theaceae. The record is from RefSeq and is a predicted model, not a curated record.